This 88-nucleotide transfer RNA is filed under the name Streptomyces marispadix. Its description in RNAcentral is "tRNA-Ile". It matches the Rfam family "tRNA". From Rfam's summary of the family: Transfer RNA (tRNA) molecules are approximately 80 nucleotides in length. The record is from RNAcentral. Lineage: Bacteria; Bacillati; Actinomycetota; Actinomycetes; Kitasatosporales; Streptomycetaceae.
GGGCGGCGUUUCGGUUCUCCCAGCCUGACGGUCUUGAAAACCGUCGUGAGGUGAUCCCUCACCGUGGGUUCGAAUCCCACCGCCUCCG